ACCUUCUUAGCUUAGUGGUAAAGCACUCGGUUUUUACCCGAAUGACAAUAGUUCGAUUCUAUUAGGGGGUA
This 71-nucleotide transfer RNA is filed under the name Candidatus Peregrinibacteria bacterium. RNAcentral describes it as "tRNA-Lys". It matches the Rfam family "tRNA". Rfam says of the family: Transfer RNA (tRNA) molecules are approximately 80 nucleotides in length. Their secondary structure includes four short double-helical elements and three loops (D, anti-codon, and T loops). Lineage: Bacteria; Candidatus Peregrinibacteriota. The record is from RNAcentral. RNAcentral also lists the same sequence under 1 other name.